GCACCACAAGAGGUGGGACCUGCGGUUCAAUUGGAUUCAACGCCGGAAAACUCACCAGGGGCGACAGCUGGUUGACGGCCAGAUUGACGAUCUUGCCCGACUAGCUGAGAGGUGGUGCAUGGCCAUCGUCAGCUCGUACCGUGAGGCGUCCUGUUAAGUCAGGCAACGAGCGAGAUCCUCGCCCUUAGUUGCCAUCGGUGGAAAGCCGGGCACUCUAGGGGGACCGCUGGCGCUAAGUCAGAGGAAGGAGAGGGCGACGGUAGGUCAGUAUGCCCCGAAUCCCCUGGGCUACACGCGGGUCACAAUGCGCAGGACAAUGAGAUGCAACCCCGUAAGGGGAAGCCAAACCCAUAAACCUGCGCUCGGUUCGGAUCGAGGGCUGUAACUCGCCCUCGUGAAGCUGGAAUCUCUAGUAAUCGCGUGCCAACACCGCGCGGUGAAUGCGUCCCUGCUCCUUGCACACACCGCCCGUCAAGCCACUCGAGUGNNUUUGGAUGAGGUCAGUUCAAGUUGUGCUGCUCGAAUCCGNUUCUNCAAGAGGGGCUAAGUCGUAACAAGGUAACC
RNAcentral lists this ribosomal RNA (564 nucleotides) under uncultured archaeon. RNAcentral's name for it is "bacterial SSU rRNA". It matches the Rfam family "Archaeal small subunit ribosomal RNA", at positions 876 to 1448 of the family's 1478-position model. The record is from RNAcentral.